GCCGCUAUAACUCAGUUGUACAGAGUCAUUGGUUUCUACCCAAUUGGUCGGGGGUUAGAGUCCCUCUAGCGGUGCCA
RNAcentral lists this transfer RNA (77 nucleotides) under Candidatus Phascolarctobacterium equi. RNAcentral describes it as "tRNA-Arg". It matches the Rfam family "tRNA". From Rfam's summary of the family: Transfer RNA (tRNA) molecules are approximately 80 nucleotides in length. Lineage: Bacteria; Bacillati; Bacillota; Negativicutes; Acidaminococcales; Acidaminococcaceae. The record is from RNAcentral.